This is an unclassified non-coding RNA of Cyprinus carpio carpio, 299 nucleotides long. It matches the Rfam family "Metazoan signal recognition particle RNA". Rfam says of the family: The signal recognition particle (SRP) is a universally conserved ribonucleoprotein. It is involved in the co-translational targeting of proteins to membranes. NCBI's taxonomy places the organism in Eukaryota, Metazoa, Chordata, Actinopteri, Cypriniformes, Cyprinidae. The record is from Ensembl.
GCCGGGUGCAGUGGCGCGCGCCUGUAGUCCAAGCUGCUGGGAGGCUGAGGCUGGCGGAUCGCUUGAGUUCAGGGGUUCUGGGCUGCAGUGGACUAUGUCGAUCGGGUGUCCGCGCUAAGUUCGGUAUCGAUAUGGUGCUCCUGGGGGAGCUCGGGACCACCAGGUCGUCUAAGGAGGGGUGAACCGGCCCAGGUCGGAGACGGAGCAGGUCAAAGCCCCCGUGCCGAUCAGUAGUGGAGUCGCGCCUGUGAAUAGACACUGCAGUGCAGCCUGAGCGAUACAGCGAGACUCAGACUUUU